GUUUUACCCUACUGAUGCCCG
RNAcentral lists this non-coding RNA (21 nucleotides) under Arabidopsis thaliana (thale cress). The record is from RNAcentral. Lineage: Eukaryota; Viridiplantae; Streptophyta; Magnoliopsida; Brassicales; Brassicaceae.